Molecule: long non-coding RNA, 1103 nt
Organism: Mustela erminea (ermine)
Lineage: Eukaryota; Metazoa; Chordata; Mammalia; Carnivora; Mustelidae
Exons: 2
Source: RefSeq, a predicted model, not a curated record
UGGUAUCUUAUUUGGCACAGGAGGAAGAUGAUGACUGUGUGUUUUAGGUAGCUGGUAAAAGAAAUUUAGUUCUUGGUAGAUAAGCUAGAUAGGACAUUAAGUAUUCAACAAAGUCGAAACAACAGAAUUAUGCCAAAAAAGGCAAGAGGGUCCAAUAGCCAAUAGAGGGCUAUAGCCACUGUUGGCCAUAAAGUAAGUCCCAUCAUUCAUGAACCCCUUCCAUUGAGGUGAAGAUGUUUUUCAAGUAACUCAGUCAAGGACAAGAACCCAUCCAGAUAUAUUUCACCCAAAAAUGUGCCUCACCUGAAAAUGUGCUUGAUGGUGGAAUGCCUGAAGGCUGGUCACCCAGUGGCUUUUCACCUGAAACUUGUUCACUUGAAGCCUGCUCACCUGAAGCUUGUUCACUUGAAGCCUGUUCACCAGAAGGCUUCUCACUGGAAGCUGGUUCACCUGAAGGCUUUUCAGUUGAAACCUGUUCACCUGAAGCCUGUUCACCUGAAGGUUUUUCGACGGAAGGCUGUUCACUGGAAGGCUUUUCACCUGAAGACUGUUCGCCGGAAGGCUGUUCAACUGAAGGCUUUUCACCUGAAGACUGUUCAACUGAAGGUUCACCAGAAGUGUGCUCUCCUGAAGCACGUUCACCUGAAGUGUGUUCACCCGUAGCAUGCUCACCUGAAGUGUGUUCACCUGAAGCGUGUUCACCUGAAGUGUGUUCACUCGAAGUGUGCUCACUGGAAGUAUGUUCAGCUGAAGUGUGCUCACCUGAAGAGUGCUCACUUAAAGUGCUCUCGCCUGCAGAAGUCUCAUAUAAAGCCUCACCAUCUGAAGGGUUUCCAAGUGAAACGUACUCACCUGAAAAUUGCUGAACUGAAGCUUGAUGAUCCAUGGAGCCAGGAGGCUCAUCAGGCUGACCUGAUGCUCCUGGGAUGGAGAAGAAACAGAAGAGAGACAGUGAAGGCAAGAGAAAGAAUGGGAUAAGGACUGCUUUGCUUAUGCAAUAAGGCUAACGUGGGAUUCCUGGGUUUCCUGUAGGCCUGGUCAGGGAUCUGAAGAUAUUGCAGAUGUUGGAGGAAAUCAACUAAUUACUUGAAAGACCAUGAAGG